RNAcentral lists this ribosomal RNA (1443 nucleotides) under Nanobdellota archaeon. Its description in RNAcentral is "bacterial SSU rRNA". It matches the Rfam family "Archaeal small subunit ribosomal RNA". The record is from RNAcentral. Lineage: Archaea; Nanobdellati; Nanobdellota.
AAUCCAGUUGAUCCUGCUGGGGGUUACGGCUAUCUGGCUUGCACUUAGGCAUGCAAGUUUUUUUGUUUCUCUGAAAUGAAAAACGAACUGCUCAGUAACACGUAGCUAACCUGCCCUCGAGCCGGCAAUACCCUCGGGAAACUGAGGUUAAUAGCCGAUAAGAGAAAAUUUCUGGAACGAUUUUUCUCUGAAAAUUUGCGCGAGAAUGGGGCUGCGGCUGAUUAGGUUGUUGGCGGGGUAAAAGCCCACCAAGCCGAUGAUCAGUAAGGGCUCUUAGCGGAGAGGCCCUGAGAGGGAAUCUGAGACACUAUUCCCAGCCCUACGGGGUGCAGCAGCUGGGAAUCUUCUGCAAUGCGCGAAAGCGUGACAGAGCGAGCCAGAGUGCUUUCUCUAUUGAGAAAGCUUUUGUGAGAUGUAAAAAAUCUCACGAAUAAGGACCGGGCAAGACUGGUGCCAGCCGCCGCGGUAAUCCCAGCGGUCCGAGUCGUAACCGCGUUUAUUGGGUCUAAAACAUCCGUAGCUUGCCCUGUAAGUCUCUUGUGAAAUCAGGCAUCUUAAGUGUCUGGCGAGCAAGAGAUACUGCGAGGCUUGGGACCGGGAGACGUAAGGAGUACAGCUUGGGUAGCGGUAAAAUGCGUUGAUCCUUGCUGGACUAACAAUAGCGAAGGCACCUUACGAGAACGGAUCAGACAGUGAGGGAUGAAGGCUAGGGGCGCACAUUGGAUUAGAUACCCAAGUAGUCCUAGCAGUAAACACUGCACACUAAACAUCGGUACCUCCUCGAGAGGUAUCGGUGCUGUAGGGAAGCCGGAGAGUGUGCUACCUGGGAAGUAUAGUCGCAAGACCGAAACUUAAAGGAAUAGGCGGGGGGGUACUACAACCAGUGACGCGUGCGGUUCAAUUAGAUUCCACACCGUGAACCUCACCAGGACCGACAGCAGGAUGAAGGUCAGUCUAAAGGGCUUACCUGACACGCUGAGAGGAGAUGCAUGGCCGACGUCAGCCUGUGUUGUGAGAUGACCUGUUAAAUCAGGUAACAGGCGAGACCCGUGUGCAUAUUUACAUUGUACAAUAUGCAGACUGCCGUGGUAACACGGAGGAAGGUGCGGGCUACGUUAGGUGAGUACGUCCCAAAUGCCCUGGGCUACACGCGCGCGGCAAUGCUGCAUUCAAAGGGCUGCAACUCCGAAAGGAGAAGCUAAUCUCAUAAACUGCAGCUUAGUUCAGAUCGAGGGUUGCAACUCACCCUCGUGACGCUGGAAUUGGUAGUAAUUGGAUUUUAGCAGAGUCCAGUGAAUAAGUCAAUGCCCCUUGCACUCACCGCCCGUCAAACCAACCGAGUUUUGCAGUGGUGAGGCCCGUUAGGGACGAGCCUUUGUAAGACAAGGUAGGUUAAGUCGUCACAAGGUCACCGUAGGGGAACCUGCGGUGGGAUCACCUCCU